Molecule: ribosomal RNA, 327 nt
Filed under: uncultured eukaryote
Lineage: Eukaryota
Description: partial 18S ribosomal RNA
Rfam family: Eukaryotic small subunit ribosomal RNA
Source: RNAcentral
CCCUUAGAUGUUCUGGGCCGCACACGCGCUACACUGAAGGAGGCAGCGUGUACUCCUGGAUCGAAAGAUUUGGGUAACCCGCGAAUCUCCUGCGUGCUAGGGAUUGAGGUUUGCAAUUAUCCUUCAUGAACGAGGAAUUCCCAGUAAGUGCAAGUCAUAAGCUUGCGCUGACUACGUCCCUGCCCUUUGUACACACCGCCCGUCGCUACUACCGAUUGAAUGAUUUAGUGAGGACUUCGGACUGGGACCGAUGCGGCUUUCGGGCUGCGUCGGUAUUCUGGAAAGAUGUCCAAACUGUAUCAUUUAGAGGAAGUAAAAGUCGUAACA